This 83-nucleotide transfer RNA is filed under the name Borassus flabellifer. RNAcentral's name for it is "tRNA-Leu". It matches the Rfam family "tRNA". From Rfam's summary of the family: Transfer RNA (tRNA) molecules are approximately 80 nucleotides in length. Lineage: Eukaryota; Viridiplantae; Streptophyta; Magnoliopsida; Arecales; Arecaceae. RNAcentral also lists the same sequence under 2 other names. The record is from RNAcentral.
GGGGAUAUGGCGAAAUUGGUAGACGCUACGGACUAAAUCCGUCGACUUUAGAAAUCGUGAGGGUUCAAGUCCCUCUAUCCCCA